UCGGGACUUGUAGUCCGCGCCCCGUGGCCGGCGCAUCCCUGGGCGGCCUCUCCUGCCUGCGCCACGUGCAGGCCGGAGUCGCCAGUUUGCUGCGCCGCUCGUGCGCUCCGCCCCCUCCCCGGGGCGCCCAGGGCCUGAGCCCGCCCCCAGCGGGUCCCCCAGCGCGGGAAGAGCUCCGCACUGCGGUUUGGAGGUCAACGUGAACUUGGAAGGGGCCACAGACAUUCACCCCAUGGCAGUAGGCAAUGCUUUCUGGAAGUUUGACCAGAAGACAGGGACAUGUGGAGCUGGGGCUCCAGUGUGGGAGCCUGCAAAGUCCCUGCCCUUGGGAAUUUGCAUCUGGAUAACAGGACCUGACAUGCUAGCAGGUGCCUUCAGUUAGAGCCAACCUGAUGCUGUGCUGACGGACUCUGGGGACAGACAAGAAAGGUGCCAGCCCGCACCCAGUGUGCCAGGCAGGACUUUCUGGAGAAAAGAUCUCUAGACUGAAGGAAGGGUGAGAGGGGAGUUCACUGUGGGGAGAGUGUGUGUGGCAGAGGGAACAGCAAAGGUGAAGGUUCAGAGGCAAAAGAGAAAUAGGCAUCGGGUUCCUUUGAGAAACCGAAAUGUCAUUCCAUUUGGGAGUAGAGCAAGAGGUAGACGCAGAUGAGGCAUAUAGGUGGGUAGGGGCUGGCUAAGGCGGGCUCCUGUCAUAGAGGUUUGGAUUGUAUUUGGAAGGUGGUGGCGCAGUAUUGAGAGCUUAGCUUGGAGUGAUAGGGUGAGCUUGGUCUUUUAACUGGAAGCAGCGAGAACAGUCGGUUAAGCAGCAGGCAGCUGAUGAGAGAACCUGCCAGGCCCAGAGCUGCAGCUGACAACUGUGGGGUCUGCAGGGUAACGGAGGGGAAGAGUGAAAGGUGACCUCUGGAUUUUUAAAAAGUAUUUGUUUAUCUAUUAGAAAGGCAGAGCAACAGAGAGAGAGAUCUUCCACUUAGUAGUUCACUCCCCAUAUGCCCACAAUAGCUAAAGCCAGGAGCCUGGAGCUCCAUCCAGGUCUUCCCUGCAGAUGGCAGGGGCCCAGGCAGUUGGGCCGUCUUCUGCUGCUUUUCCCUGGCCUCUAGCAGGGAGCUGGAUCGGAAGUGGAGCAGCCGGGACACAAGCCGGCGCCCAUGUGGGAUGCCAGCAUCGCAGAGGGUGCUUUACCUACUACGCCACAAUGCCAGCCCCUUUAGGCUGCUUUCCAAUGCAUGAUACGUGUUUAGCCCUCACAAUAUCACUUCAUCAGAUAUAAGCUUGGUCCCUUUCCAUAACUUUUUUUCUCUAAACUUUUAAUAAAAAAUUUUUUUUCUCCAAAAAUUUUUAUUUAAGGUAUACAAACUUCAUGCAUUUCAUAAGUAUAAGUUUAGGAACACAAUGAUCCUCCCCACCCUAUCUGCUCUCCUGCCCACACUCCCACCCUCUUCCUCCUCCCUCUCCUAUUCCCAUUCUUGUUUUUUACUAAGAUCUAUUUUCAAUUAACUUUAUGCAUGUAAGAUUAACCUUAUACUACGUAAAGAGUUCAACAAAUAGUGUGGGGAAAAAAAGCCUUCCUCAACCCUUGAGACAAGGGCUGUUCAAGGUCAUUACAUCUCAAAGUGUCAAUUUCACUUCUAUAGCUUGCCUUGGGCACUCUGUUAGUUACCACAGAUCCGGAGGAUACAUGGUGUUUGUCCUUUUGGGACUGGCUUAUUUCACUAAGUAUAAAGUUUUCCAGUUACAACUACUUUGUUGCGGAUCUCUAAACUUUUUGAAGUCAAAGUAACACAUACACAGGGUCUUACAGUGAUCUAGGACUAAGUAACACUGAACUCCCCAGCUGCCCCUCCGAGAAACAACCCUUCCAGCCAUUUCUGCUGCUUCCUCUCAUGUUUACGUCCAUAUUUCUGCAUAAUGACUUUAUGCUGCUUUUGUUUUUUUGAAAACCCUUUUACAUUAGUAGUACAUUUCACAUAUUUCUUUUUUUAAAAAAGAUUUUCUUUAUUUAUUAGAGAAGUAGAGUUGCAGAGAGCGGGAGAGACACAGAGGUCUUCUAUCUGCUGGUUCACUCCCCAGUUGGCUGUAAUGGCUGGAGCUGUGCUUAUCCGAAGCCAGGAGCCAGGAGCUUCUUCCAGGUCUCCCACGUGGGUGCAGGGGCCUAAGGACUUGGGCCACCUUCUACUGCUUUCCCAGGCCAUAGCAGAAAGUUGGAUCAGAAAAGGAGCAGCCAGGACACGAACCGGUGCCCAUAUGGGAUGCCGGUGCCACAGGCUGAGGCCACAGUGCCAGCCCCAACAUCUCACGUACUUCUAAAAUGAAACAUAACGAAUAUGCAGGGGUGGGCUUUUGGCUCAAUGGUUAAGAUGCCACUUAGGACACCUGUGUUCCAUUUCAGAGCACCAAGGUUCAAGUCCUGGCUCUGCUCCUAGUCCCAGCUUCCUGCUUAUGUGCACCCUGGAAGGGAGCAGGUGAUGGGUGACCCUGGACGCUGGGUUCCUGCUAUCCAUGUGAGAAAUCUGUGUUGAGUUCCAGGCUCCUGGCGUAGGCCUGUUCCAGCCUUGGCUGUUGCAGACACUUGGGCAGUGAGCCAAAAGACAGAUCUCUCUCUCUCUCUCUCUCUCUCU
Non-coding RNA from Oryctolagus cuniculus (rabbit), 2615 nucleotides. NCBI's taxonomy places the organism in Eukaryota, Metazoa, Chordata, Mammalia, Lagomorpha, Leporidae. The record is from RefSeq and is a predicted model, not a curated record.